CUCAUAAAUAAUCAAGAAGAGGGACUGCCCACUAUAACUGAAGUACCCAUGAGGAUGGCAAGAUCUUUCAAUCAGAAGGUAAAUGAACAAGCAAAGUCAUGAGAAUCAUGUGGAAUGUAUUUUCACUUCUCAUUUAAACUAGGCUACCAAUAAUGAAAUUACAAUUUGUUUUUUUUUUUUUUU
This is a non-coding RNA of Camellia sinensis, 183 nucleotides long. The record is from RefSeq and is a predicted model, not a curated record. Lineage: Eukaryota; Viridiplantae; Streptophyta; Magnoliopsida; Ericales; Theaceae.